This 373-nucleotide long non-coding RNA is filed under the name Daucus carota (carrot). RNAcentral's name for it is "long non-coding RNA (DCAR_LNC007571)". The record is from RNAcentral. Lineage: Eukaryota; Viridiplantae; Streptophyta; Magnoliopsida; Apiales; Apiaceae.
GACAAAUUCAGCAACACAAACCGAAAGAACAUUUCCCCUAAUCAAAUAUCAAAAGCUAGGUUCUUGAUUUUCCGUACGAUAAGGAUCCUGAUUUGUAUAUCAAUCAGCCUGCUCUGAUACCAAUUGUUAGGUCCAAAGUAUCGUAGAAGGGGGGGUUGAAUACGAUACUCACUACAAUUUAAAAUUCUUUCGAAUCUUGCGGAUAAACAAAUUGCAGUUCUGUAAUGGGUUUCGUGUUCCGGAUAUUUAUUGGGUCGGUUUCUGAGGAUAUGAAAAUAUUAAACCAACACACAAUAUUUUCCAAGGUAUAUCUGUAUAUUGAUAAAUACCUCGAAGGGUGCUAUAAAUCCAAACCCGAAGGUUGGCUACAAUG